Molecule: long non-coding RNA, 427 nt
Filed under: Cervus hanglu yarkandensis (Yarkand deer)
Lineage: Eukaryota; Metazoa; Chordata; Mammalia; Artiodactyla; Cervidae
Description: lncRNA (ENSCHYG00000011975.1)
Source: RNAcentral
GGCCAGCCCGGAAGCUGGCUUCCUCCAGGCUCCCCCUCUAGCUGCUGCUGCCAAGCUGCCUCGCAGCCAGGCUGACUGAGACUUGGUUCUGCACUCACUGCCCAAGAGACAUGAGGGGUUUUCUCUUGGGGAGAAAUCGGUGGUCGAGGGCUGCCCGGUUCGAAUGCCACCCUGCGGGAGGGAGGCCUGCAGUGUAGGGAUCCCUGAGGGAGAGAAAGUCCUGGGACCAAGGAAACCAGCUUUUGGAGAUCGACCUUUCUGUGCAACGUCACACCUCCUGAGGACAGCCAGGAGGACUCCAGCUUUUGCUGAGCAUUGCAUCUUACCUCUUCCUUUCAAAGGCUCCAGAUCCCAGCUUACCUGUCCUCAAGCUUACCUGUGCCCCAACCAGGCAUCCCACUACCCCUCCAGCCCAGCCCAGCCCUAG